UACGAAGGACCCGAGCGUUAUCCGGAAUCAUUGGGUUUAAAGGGUCCGUAGGCGGUCUUAUAAGUCAGUGGUGAAAGCCCAUCGCUCAACGAUGGAACUGCCAUUGAUACUGUAAGACUUGAAUGCUUGUGAAGUAACUAGAAUAUGUAGUGUAGCGGUGAAAUGCUUAGAUAUUACAUGGAAUACCAAUUGCGAAGGCAGGUUACUAACAAGUUAUUGACGCUGAUGGACGAAAGCGUGGGGAGCGAACAGG
Molecule: unclassified non-coding RNA, 253 nt
Filed under: uncultured Flavobacteriaceae bacterium
Lineage: Bacteria; Pseudomonadati; Bacteroidota; Flavobacteriia; Flavobacteriales; Flavobacteriaceae
Description: contains 16S-23S intergenic spacer region
Rfam family: Bacterial small subunit ribosomal RNA
Source: RNAcentral